Molecule: long non-coding RNA, 985 nt
Filed under: Daphnia pulex (common water flea)
Lineage: Eukaryota; Metazoa; Arthropoda; Branchiopoda; Diplostraca; Daphniidae
Description: uncharacterized LOC124194507, transcript variant X1
Source: RNAcentral
UUAAAAGUAACAUGAAAACAAUGUCUGCUCUAGCUCGGUGACACUCAAUUGAAAGAACUGACAAACAAAGGUAACAAAUAACUUUGAUACUCACGUAAUAACGUUCUCCUUGCAAAAUUUCACCAACAAGCCACCAUACACACACAGCAUCACAAAACAGACGAAAUCCCCAAGGUGAUAAUGGACGCCAGUCCAACUUCUAUACUGAGGAAGUGAGGAGAAGGCACUCAAGGCGUAUCCGAUCAUGUUCCUUGUCUGCAAGUGAUUCCCGACGUUUCAGCACCUAGGCAACAGUGCUUGGACAGUGGAUUGCUGAAAGGAAAAACACCCAGUUGGCUACAUACUACAAGGCAACAGCAAAUGUAAAGUCAAUCAUAUAAACGAUGGUGAAGAUGAAAAAUCCUUUCCACACUACCUGGCCUCACAACAACAGCAUGUUCCGGGCUCAUGUGAUCCUCACACUAGGGACUGGGCAUCUAAUUGUUUUGAUAAUCACCUGUAUCACCCUUUUAGCUUUAUUCCCGUCAUUCUGCACGUUACCUUACAUGUGAUAAAUCUUUCUUUUCUUUCUGUAGGUUUUGAUGGCCAUUGAUAAUUGGAGAGCAGCAUUGGAAUGUGACAGCUUGUCUGGGAUAAAAGCACUACUAAUUUAAUUAGUUCAAAUAACACAAAAUUUAACUAAUGAUGCUUAUUGCAUUCUUGGCUCAAUGUUUUCAGAAAAUUUCAGCUGAAGUUUACCUAGGUGCAAACAGAGAAAACAGAGAUCAAACAGGACAAUCCAGUGCAAGCUGUGUCUUCUCAAGCCAAAUAGUUUCUAUGUGCAAGGUUAACUUUUUGCAUUCAAGUUGUUGUAAAUCUUCAAAAUAUUGUUGCCUUUCCCAGAUCAAAUUCUAUGUUGCUAUUUAUUUUGAGGACAAUUGACAGACAAUGCUUCUAAGUUCUACUUAAGUGGUUGCUGUGACUACAUUUUGCUGAGUUCUCAUUU